Molecule: long non-coding RNA, 465 nt
Organism: Patiria miniata (bat star)
Lineage: Eukaryota; Metazoa; Echinodermata; Asteroidea; Valvatida; Asterinidae
Exons: 3
Source: RefSeq, a predicted model, not a curated record
AAUUAUGAUGCACAGCGCCUUGAGCACCUAGUCUUGGGAUACAUUGUAUGUGCUCUUUAUAAAUACCCAUUAUCAUUAUUAUUAUUAUUGUUAUUUCUAUGCAGCACUUGAAUCGGAGCAAUAUGAAGCUGUUGGCAGGCUUAUUGGCUAUCUACUGGCAGAGGGCAGUGUUCUUCCUAAUGUACUAGCCCCAGUCACCUUUGCUUUACUUGCCUAUAGUGCAAAGAAAGUGAUUUUGUGAUGUCACAGACCACAGCCAGAGGAUGUUGCUAUAUGAGAUCAAUCAGGCCAAUACAAAGCAGCAGUUGUUGCAUGUCAUAGAAGAGCACAGCAUGUUGCUGACAUUGGCAGGUUGUGGCUCUUGCACACUGAACAAGCAGCUGCUAGAAAAGCAUCUGACUCAUUUCUUUGUUGUUGAUUCAAAGCAUCGUGCAUUUGAACAGAUGAGGAAAGGACUGCAGUGGG